This 505-nucleotide ribosomal RNA is filed under the name uncultured Rikenellaceae bacterium. RNAcentral's name for it is "bacterial SSU rRNA". It matches the Rfam family "Bacterial small subunit ribosomal RNA", at positions 903 to 1382 of the family's 1533-position model. The record is from RNAcentral. Lineage: Bacteria; Pseudomonadati; Bacteroidota; Bacteroidia; Bacteroidales; Rikenellaceae.
CGCCUUGCCAGCCCGCUCAGAAACUCAAAUGAAUUGACGGGGGCCCGCACAAGCGGAGGAACAUGUGGUUUAAUUCGAUGAUACGCGAGGAACCUUACCUGGGCUAGAACGCAUUCGGAAUCAGGCCGAAAGGCCUGCGCCAGCGAUGGCCGCUUGCGAGGUGCUGCAUGGUUGUCGUCAGCUCGUGCCGUGAGGUGUCGGGUUAAGUCCCAUAACGAGCGCAACCCCUACUGCUAGUUGCCAGCGGGUCAUGCCGGGGACUCUAGCGGAACUGCCAGCGUAAGCUGCGAGGAAGGUGGGGAUGACGUCAAAUCAGCACGGCCCUUACGUCCAGGGCUACACACGUGUUACAAUGGCCGGUACAGAGGGCAGCCACCCCGCGAGGGGGCGCGAAUCCCGAAAGCCGGUCCCAGUUCGGAUCGGAGUCUGCAACCCGACUCCGUGAAGCUGGAUUCGCUAGUAAUCGCGCAUCAGCCACGGCGCGGUGAAUACGUUCCCGGGCCUU